CUACGGAGGGUGCGAGCGUUAAUCGGAAUUACUGGGCGUAAAGCGUACGUAGGCGGUUGGUUAAGUUAGAUGUGAAAGCCCCGGGCUUAACCUGGGAACUGCAUUUAAAACUGGCGAACUAGAGUUGAGUAGAGGGGAGUAGAAUUUCAGGUGUAGCGGUGAAAUGCGUAGAGAUCUGAAGGAACACCAGUGGCGAAGGCGACUCCCUGGACUCGAACUGACGCUGAGGUACGAAAGCGUGGGUAGCAAACGGGAUUAGAAACCCUAGUAGUCC
This 274-nucleotide ribosomal RNA is filed under the name uncultured bacterium. Its description in RNAcentral is "partial 16S ribosomal RNA". It matches the Rfam family "Bacterial small subunit ribosomal RNA", at positions 523 to 796 of the family's 1533-position model. The record is from RNAcentral.